CGGGACGGGUGAGUAACGCGUGGGUAACCUGCCUCAUACAGGGGGAUAACAGUUAGAAAUGACUGCUAAUACCGCAUAAGCGCACGAGGAUGCAUGUUCUUGUGUGAAAAACUCCGGUGGUAUGAGAUGGACCCGCGUCUGAUUAGCUAGUUGGAGGGGUAACGGCCCACCAAGGCGACGAUCAGUAGCCGACCUGAGAGGGUGACCGGCCACAUUGGGACUGAGACACGGCCCAAACUCCUACGGAAGGCAGCAG
RNAcentral lists this ribosomal RNA (256 nucleotides) under uncultured bacterium. Its description in RNAcentral is "partial 16S ribosomal RNA". It matches the Rfam family "Bacterial small subunit ribosomal RNA", at positions 98 to 354 of the family's 1533-position model. The record is from RNAcentral.